AAAGUCGUAACAAGGUUUCCGUAGGUGAACCCGCGGAAGGAUCAUUAAAGAGAUAGGGUCUUCAUGGCCCGACCCUCCAACCCUCUGUUUUAUAACUAUCCUUGUUUGGCUUGGCGGGACCGUCUCGGUCUCGAGCGCACUAACCCUCGGGUUGGUGAGCGCCCGCCAGAGUCCAACCAAACUCUUGUAUUAAACCAGUCGUCUGAGUAUAAAAUUUUAAUUAAAAUUAAAAA
This 233-nucleotide unclassified non-coding RNA is filed under the name plant metagenome. RNAcentral describes it as "partial contains small subunit ribosomal RNA and internal transcribed spacer 1". The stretch from base 1 to 47 matches the Rfam family "Eukaryotic small subunit ribosomal RNA", at positions 1785 to 1831 of the family's 1831-position model. The record is from RNAcentral.